AAGGCGUGCCACCCCCUCAAGGUGGGGGUUACCAAGGGGCACCGCCUCAGGGUCCGUACGGAGGCACUCCGUAUGGGGCGAGCCCGUUUGCGGCGCUGGUGCCGUCAGCGUUCCCACCAGGGACGGAUCCGAAUGUUGUGGCGUGUUUCCAGGCGGCGGACCAUGAUGGGAGUGGGUUUAUUGAUGAUACUGAGCUGCAGGGGGCGCUGUCGUCGUAUAAUCAGAGCUUCAGCAUGAGGACGGUGCAUUUGCUCAUGUACCUGUUUACGUCGUCGAAUGUUCGCAAGAUUGGCCCGAAGGAAUUCGCCUCGGUUUUUUACAGUUUGCAGAGUUGGAGGGGCAUCUUCGAUAGGGCUGACCGUGAUCGGAGUGGCAAGAUUGAUGCCCCGGAGCUGAGGGACGCACUUAUGAGCCUGGGGUUUGCUGUCUCCCCAGUGGUGUUGGACCUGCUCGUCUCCAAGUUUGACAAGUCUGGAGGAAAAAACAAGGCCAUUGAGUAUGAUGGUUUUAUCGAGUGUUGUCUCAUUGUGAAGGGACUGACAGAGAAGUUCAAGGAGAAGGAUGUGGGGUUCAGGGGGUCGGCGACCUUCACUUAUGAAUCUUUCAUGCUGACUGUUCUUCCUUUCCUCGUUGCAUAGACGAGAGAUAUCUGAGUGGUAUGCUUUUAAGAACAUUCCUGCAUCUUGUGCUCACGUAAUGUGUAGGUUAUACUUUACUUUCCGUGAUGAGUUUCUUUGCAUUGUAGUCCUCCAGUCUUUGUGCAAUUCAUUUCAUGUUCUAAAAAAUGCAAACCUGUGGUAUGUCUUGAGUUCUGUAGCGAAUUGUUGUUUCUGAAAUAAUU
This 841-nucleotide unclassified non-coding RNA is filed under the name Hevea brasiliensis (rubber tree). Lineage: Eukaryota; Viridiplantae; Streptophyta; Magnoliopsida; Malpighiales; Euphorbiaceae. The record is from RNAcentral.